Molecule: long non-coding RNA, 3198 nt
Filed under: Homo sapiens (human)
Lineage: Eukaryota; Metazoa; Chordata; Mammalia; Primates; Hominidae
Description: HSALNT0105758
Source: RNAcentral
GGAUUACAGGCAUGAACCACUGCGCCAGACCUUGAUUUUAAUAAUAGACAACAUGAGAUAUAUUAUAUAUCAUUGUGAGGGGAGGGCACCAGGGAUGGUAAAGCUUCCAGUUGAAGAAUAUGUAACACUCAUCUCUGUCUCUCAAAAACAGAAAUACUCACAUUUGUAUUCUUACACCUAAGGGUAAAAGGUAGCCAGGGCAUGGGAACUAUUUAGCAAAAAUAAAAAGUAAAUGUAAAGAUAGACAGACAAACAGGCAAAACAUAUUUAGAGCUAAACAUGUUAUACACACGAAAGGAGGUUUGUAGCCUCACAUGUUCUUUCUGGCAUCCUAUUCCAGAAGUUUCGAACCUGAGUUUAGGGGAAGGUUUUAUUUUAUUUAUUUAUUUAUUUUUUAAGAUGGAGUUUUGUUCUUGUUGCCCAUGCUGGAGUGCAAUGGUGCAAUCUUGGCUCAUUGCAACCUCCACCUCCCGGGUUCAAGCAAUUCUCCUGCCUCGCCUCUCAAGUAGCUGGGAUUACAGGUUCCUGCCACCACGCCUGGCUAAUUUUUUGCAUUUUUAGUAGAGACAAGGUUUCACCAUGUUGGCCAGGCUGGUCUUGAACUCCUGACCUCAGGUGAUCCACCUGCCUCGGCUUCCCAAAGUGCUAGGAUUACAGGCAUGAGCCACUACGCCCGGCCUAGAGGAAGAUUUUAGAUUAUCACGACAAACAAGUGAACAGCAUCUUAAUAGUCAAUCCCAUGAAACUAGAGCAUUAAAUAAUCACCCUUCUAAAUAUGGAAAGGUUUUCCUGUGCAGGAAUUCUGAAGUUAUUUGUAUUUUUUUAGAGACAGGAUCUCACUCUGUGUCCCAGGCUAGAGUACAGCAGAGCAAUCAUAGUUCACUGCAGCCUCAAACUCCUGGGCUCAAGCAAUCCUCCCACCUCAGUAUUCAAGUAGGUGGGACUACAGGCACGAGCCACCAUGUCUGGGUAAUUUUUAUUUAUUGUUUUUGUAGAGAUGAGGUCUCCCUAUGUUGUCCAGGCUGGAUUCGAAUUCCCGGCCUCGAGUGAUCCUCCCACCUUGGCCAUCCAGAGUGCUAGAUUAUAGGUGUGAACCACUGCACUCAGCCAGAGUUCUGAAUUUAACAUCAGUCCUCUUCCUCUCUGCUCAAUUCUGCACCCAUUCACGGCUCUGCCCUCACGCUGUCAUACUCAGUUUUACCAUUUCUGCCAAACAUUUUCUUCCAUUUCCUUUUUGGAUUCUCCUUUUUUUUUUUUUAAACGAAAAAUUGGUUAUAUCCAGCCUUAACAUCUUCCCUAAACUUUUCCAAUUUCUCAUCUUGCUUUAGAAAUCCCUGUUCUAGGUUUACUUCUUUCUAUAGUUUUUUUGGAGUGACUAGAAAUUCCUUAAAAUAAUGAGGUAUGGCCUGGCGCAGUGGCUCACAUCUGUAAUCCCAGAAUUUUUGGAGGCCAAAGCAGGCUGACUGCUUGAGGCCAGGAGUUCAAGACCAGCCUGGGCAACAUGGUAAAAACCCACUUCUACUAAAAAUACAAAAAUUAGCAAGGUGAGGUGGUAAGCACCUGUAGUCCCAGCUACUUUGGGGGCUGAGGUGGGAGGAUCACUUGAGCCUGGGAGGCAAAGGUUGCAGUGAGCUGAGAUUGUGCCGCUGCACUCCAGCCUGGGUGACAGAGCAAGACUCUGUCUCAAAAGAAAAAAAAAACUUAUGAGGUAUGGACAAUUCAGUAAUAAGAUUUGAGUCUCAUAGUCUGCACGACCUCUUUUUCUAUGUUUUCAUUCCUCUUGGAUUUGUCUAUUUUCCUGGCUCAGUUGGCAAGCGCCUGGCCUGAGCAAAAUUCCUAAUCUCAGAUAUGGCCAUGAGCGUAUUUCUGGAUGAGGGCCAUCUCAUUAUGAUGAGAAAGGAAAGGACUGUCCAAAUCCAAUGCUACUGCUUCAGGGAAGAGGACCCUUGGGGUAAAACCAAUGUUGGAUGAAAAAUACUUAAGAACCUCACACAAAGGCUUUUUAGAGAUUACCAUCCAAAAUACACACAAUGGAGAAGCUCUAUCAACUGAAAGGUCUGAACAAGAGUAAGGAAACCACACAUGAAGAGUAAAAAAUACAAAAGAAAAAACUUGUGUAAGACCAAGAUCUAUAAGAGAGAGAAUGAUCCAUUAUUGAGUCAAAGAUCAAUAUGUAGCUGGUUCAAGUACAAAGGUAACUUUUUUUCCACUUCUAAUUUUCAUAAUUUACAUAUUUAAUCAGAGCUAUCCAAAUAUCACCCAUUACAAACCAACGCUUAACGUGGAGCUUGUUUCAGAAUAUGUGUGUUAGGUAGUACUUACAUUGUUUACAAGGCUUGGUCAUUCAGAACAAAAAUGUAAUUUCAAGGUAAUAAGUAUGAUGUUGCAGUUCUAUAAUCUAACUGGGUAUAUUCAUAAAUGUGAGUCAGAAAGUCACACUUAGUUUAAGGUAACUAACUUCUGAUGGAAUUCUUGCUGGUAGAUGGUGAAUGUGGGUCUUAAUGAGCUCUCCUAUGAAAGGGGCACUUACCAUGGACAGGAAGAUAUGAAAAAGCAUGCUGGCUCUGUGAGUGCCCCUCAAGGCAGCCUUUGCAUUUGUACCAAAAUUCAAAGGACGGAAAUGUUCAGUCAGAAGUUCUCUUACCUACCUCACUCCAGCUAGGGAACCAAGGCCAUCUAUCUCUUUUCCCACAAUGCCAUGGACAAAUGGAAUAGAAACAAAUCAGCAAAGGUAGCUGCCACAUCUUGCCCAAUGAUGUGUCCUAGAGGCUCUGAGAUUCACUUGAAUGAAGUCACCAGCAGUGAAAUUCACAGUUAAUGGGAAGAUGCAAAAUGCUCAGGAGACAUUAGAAAGCUAGCCCCAUAGACCCUGAAGGUGAAGACCAAAAGCUUCCCCAGUGGUAAGAUAUAGGAGAGAAGGGGCAUUCCCUGGCCCUAAACUUACUAAUGUCCUCCUGUGGAACCAUUCCUUUAGUAACUAUUAAUAAAAAACUGUUAAUAUGUGCCAGGCAUUUUAUAGGUGCUAAGAAUGUAGAUAUGAACAAAGCAGACAUGGUCUCCACUUUUAAGGAACUUAAUGCCUAAUGGAAAAACUUAAGUUAUAAAUAACUUAAAAUUAUAAAUUGUGACAGGUGCUAUGAAGGAAUAACAGGGGAGGCCAACUCUAGCUUGGCUGGAAAGGGUCACUUAACCAGCCAG